RNAcentral lists this ribosomal RNA (440 nucleotides) under uncultured bacterium. Its description in RNAcentral is "partial 16S ribosomal RNA". It matches the Rfam family "Bacterial small subunit ribosomal RNA", at positions 338 to 795 of the family's 1533-position model. The record is from RNAcentral.
CCUACGGGAGGCAGCAGUAGGGAAUCUUGCUCAAUGGGGGAAACCCUGAAGCAGCAACGCCGCGUGGAGGAAGAAGGUUUUAGGAUUGUAAACUCCUUUUGUUAGAGAAGAUUAUGACGGUAUCUAACGAAUAAGCACCAGCUAACUCCGUGCCAGCAGCCGCGGUAAUAGGGAGGGUGCAGGCGUUACUCGGAAUCACUGGGCGUAAAGAGUGCGUAGGCGGGGUAAUAAGUCAGAUGUGAAAGCCUGUGGCUUAACUCCAGAACGGCAUUUGAAACUGAUACUCUGGAGUGUGGGAGAGGGAGGUGGAAUUCUCGGUGUAGGAGUGAAAUGCGUAGAGAUCAAGAGGAAUACUCAUUGCGAAGGCGACCUCCUGGAACAUAACUGACGCUGAGGCACGAAGGCGUGGGGAGCGAACAGGAUUAGAUACCCUUGUAGUC